RNAcentral lists this long non-coding RNA (2569 nucleotides) under Hordeum vulgare. RNAcentral describes it as "long non-coding RNA (HVUL_LNC016748)". The record is from RNAcentral. Lineage: Eukaryota; Viridiplantae; Streptophyta; Magnoliopsida; Poales; Poaceae.
UUUUUCUGUGAAAAAAAUCCCUCCCGUUCCCCCGAAUUAGUCCUGCGUGAUCCCUUUUUCUGCGCCGUCCUGCGCGGGUUCCCCGCUGGCGGCUGGCCGCACCUUACCACCCCCGUCCGGCCGUCCUCCGCCCAGGUAGACAGGAAGAAGCGAGGAGGGUCGUAUCCGACUGCGGCACAUGGAGAGGUGGACUAGGGGGACGCAUCUCCCGGCGAGCACGGGAAUACUACUAUGAUUCAGACAGGGUGACGGGCCGCCGCCGGCGCCGCCUGAGUACAGAGCCUACAUCGCCCACGGUCGGCGGUCAGUUUCAUGCCCAUCGCCACCGGCGACCUCUCGGGAAACGGGCAGACGGCGAGAGUUUAGGACACCACUAAAACCUGGGCUUCUCCUUAUCCACAUCCGGGCGGUUGGCUCUGCUUCUUCUCCAGUAUGUCGCUGUCCAUUGAUUCCAUUAAUCCAUUCUCCCCUGUUCCGGCUUUUUAUCAUGAAUACGCAGAUUUAGAUUAGGUGAUGUGGUACUUUGAUCGUUUGAUGAUGAGUACUCUAAUUACUGUGAUUGUGCGAUCCUGAUACUGUAUUUUGUUUCCUGUAAGUUUAAUGUUUGAGACUUGGAGCUUUAUAGCUUAUUGUUGAUACUUGUUUGUGACCUGGAUUGCAAAUGUGUGUCUCGUAGCUUGCUGCUGCUGUUGGAGCACUGAACGCUUGGUCUUGGACAUCACAGCCACCCCACCAUUACCUUGGACGCUACUUCAAAUCCUGGCGGCACAAAAUUUUAGUGGAAACAUAAGGUAAAAAAUCUUGCAACCCGGAUGUGACGGUUUUAUUUGUUUAUUUUGUUAUCCCUUGAUUAGUGAACCUGAUACUUUUUCGGAUCAACUGAAAAUAAAUAUAAGAUUCUGUUAUCUAUUGGUUUGAUUCUAUUAUCACCAUAUUAGUUGAUGAGAAUCCUCUUAAACCACGUCUCCUUGUCAAGUGCUGGAACUUAUUUAUCACUCCCACUUCAGAACGGAACCUCGUUGCCAAGUGCCAACUGAUUCAUAGUAAAAUCCCCUCUGACACCCAAUAGAAUAGGUUGCUGUUGUUUUUUUGUUUCACCAAUGAGCUAUUUUAAAACAGGCAAAUAUCAAUGACAAAAUGAAUGCAAAAUAUGCCCUUAGACCGAUGUGGCAUGCAUGUAACAUAAUUAACUGCUCGACAAGAAUUGAGUCAAUUGAACAUCUAUAGACGACAUAGCGCCGUGGGGUCUACUAGGUCACCCAAUUACUGGUUCUUAAUUAUCUGUCCCGCUUGUGUUUCUGUCUAGCUUGUGCAGUUAUGCAUAUCUGUGCUCGAUCAUACAUGUUAUCUCUACCAUAAAGCACCAAGUUCACAUUAUAUUAUAAUUACCAUCCACAUAUGAUUUAGUUUUACUUCUUCUGAUUUGUAAUGAACUUCUACUUGAAUGCUUUACUAAAUCUUAUUUUUCAGGAAAUUUGCAAGCGGGGAUUAGAAGAAUUAUUUUGAACUGAAUGAAGAAUCUAUGCACCUUUUAGCGAACUUUUAUAUGCUUGCAUAGUUUUUGCUCUUCGACAAUGAACCUUGUAAAAUUUCAAAAAAUUCUUACUAAGUUAAUUAAGCUUCAUGUAUGACAGAUUUUCAUUGGGAAUAGAUACACUUUUUUCAAAGAAGUAUCAUGUCAGAUUUACCAUCUUGUAAAAUCAACUGUGAUGGGGCGUUCUCUGCACCUGAGGGCACUGGUGGUGGUGGCUGGGGCUUCGUCAUACACGACUUGCCGGGAGAUGUGAGAGGCUCUGGAGCGGGGCGCCUUCGACAUGUAGCAACACACCCCUUUAUUUUCUGAAACAUUGACGGGUGUGGCAACACACCCCUUUAUGUCCUAGUGUCUACUGUUAGGAAACUUCUUGCAAGUACUUUGGUUAGGUACUAGAAAGCAUGCGCGUGCACACACACACACACACAUGCCCACAGCAACAAGCACGCACAUACAACACAACACAGAUGCUCUGCUCCUGAUUUGUCAAUAGUAUGCUGAUGCUUUGCUUUGAUCUGCUCUAACACUAACUUUUUUGUCAAUAGUAAGGGAAGUCGAAGUUUCUGAUUGGUGAUGCUUUUGCUUCAGGAUACUUAAUUUCCUCGCAUUGACCUUUUGUAAGUUAAAAUCUUUUUUUCCAUAUUCCAAAAUUAUGUUGGUGUACACUUAAUCACAUAAUCGUAAGGUCCAAAUUUCAUUUACAGAUUCAAAAGAAGGAUAAUCGAGUUGCAGCUGAAUUCUCCGGUUGGAUCAAGAAGCAAAUACAAUUAGAAAAUUUUACUUAGAAAUAACCGUAGUUUACAUUGAUAGAUGGAAACAAUGUAAUAUCAUGCAGAAGUUGUUUUUUAUUUGUUUGAAUUGUGCAAAUGCUAUGGUGUAAUAUUCUCCAUAGACAUGUUCACUGUAGUCAAAAUAUAUGAAUGAUAUUUUGCGGUACCAGUAAUAUUGGUAUUUGUUUAUUGUAAUGCAUAUGUAUCCUACAUUGUUGUAUAUUCAUAUUAAAUAUCUUGAUAUUUUCAAUUUGUGUAUGUGUCG